UAAUUUUUAUGGAGAGUUUGAUCCUGGCUCAGGAUGAACGCUGGCGGCGUGCCUAAUACAUGCAAGUCGAGCGAACGGACGAGAAGCUUGCUUCUCUGAUGUUAGCGGCGGACGGGUGAGUAACACGUGGAUAACCUACCUAUAAGACUGGGAUAACUUCGGGAAACCGGAGCUAAUACCGGAUAAUAUUUUGAACCGCAUGGUUCAAAAGUGAAAGACGGUCUUGCUGUCACUUAUAGAUGGAUCCGCGCUGCAUUAGCUAGUUGGUAAGGUAACGGCUUACCAAGGCAACGAUGCAUAGCCGACCUGAGAGGGUGAUCGGCCACACUGGAACUGAGACACGGUCCAGACUCCUACGGGAGGCAGCAGUAGGGAAUCUUCCGCAAUGGGCGAAAGCCUGACGGAGCAACGCCGCGUGAGUGAUGAAGGUCUUCGGAUCGUAAAACUCUGUUAUUAGGGAAGAACAUAUGUGUAAGUAACUGUGCACAUCUUGACGGUACCUAAUCAGAAAGCCACGGCUAACUACGUGCCAGCAGCCGCGGUAAUACGUAGGUGGCAAGCGUUAUCCGGAAUUAUUGGGCGUAAAGCGCGCGUAGGCGGUUUUUUAAGUCUGAUGUGAAAGCCCACGGCUCAACCGUGGAGGGUCAUUGGAAACUGGAAAACUUGAGUGCAGAAGAGGAAAGUGGAAUUCCAUGUGUAGCGGUGAAAUGCGCAGAGAUAUGGAGGAACACCAGUGGCGAAGGCGACUUUCUGGUCUGUAACUGACGCUGAUGUGCGAAAGCGUGGGGAUCAAACAGGAUUAGAUACCCUGGUAGUCCACGCCGUAAACGAUGAGUGCUAAGUGUUAGGGGGUUUCCGCCCCUUAGUGCUGCAGCUAACGCAUUAAGCACUCCGCCUGGGGAGUACGACCGCAAGGUUGAAACUCAAAGGAAUUGACGGGGACCCGCACAAGCGGUGGAGCAUGUGGUUUAAUUCGAAGCAACGCGAAGAACCUUACCAAAUCUUGACAUCCUUUGACAACUCUAGAGAUAGAGCCUUCCCCUUCGGGGGACAAAGUGACAGGUGGUGCAUGGUUGUCGUCAGCUCGUGUCGUGAGAUGUUGGGUUAAGUCCCGCAACGAGCGUAACCCUUAAGCUUAGUUGCCAUCAUUAAGUUGGGCACUCUAAGUUGACUGCCGGUGACAAACCGGAGGAAGGUGGGGAUGACGUCAAAUCAUCAUGCCCCUUAUGAUUUGGGCUACACACGUGCUACAAUGGACAAUACAAAGGGCAGCGAAACCGCGAGGUCAAGCAAAUCCCAUAAAGUUGUUCUCAGUUCGGAUUGUAGUCUGCAACUCGACUACAUGAAGCUGGAAUCGCUAGUAAUCGUAGAUCAGCAUGCUACGGUGAAUACGUUCCCGGGUCUUGUACACACCGCCCGUCACACCACGAGAGUUUGUAACACCCGAAGCCGGUGGAGUAACCUUUUAGGAGCUAGCCGUCGAAGGUGGGACAAAUGAUUGGGGUGAAGUCGUAACAAGGUAGCCGUAUCGGAAGGUGCGGCUGGAUCACCUCCUUUCUAAG
RNAcentral lists this ribosomal RNA (1562 nucleotides) under Staphylococcus aureus subsp. aureus T0131. RNAcentral describes it as "16S ribosomal RNA". It matches the Rfam family "Bacterial small subunit ribosomal RNA". The record is from RNAcentral. Lineage: Bacteria; Bacillati; Bacillota; Bacilli; Caryophanales; Staphylococcaceae.